UCUUGCCUCUCUUUACGGUUUAAGCACUCAGACAACAACAAUAAUAGAACCGACAGACCCCUUUCACCAGCCACCAUCGCCAUCUUUCUUGUUCCGUCUCUCUCUCUCUCUCUCUCUCUUCGGUCUCCUCUCUCAGCCCUUUUUUCUCUCCCUCAAACCAGAAGAAAGAACAGCAGUCAUGAACCUUGGUCCUCCCUCUCCAUCACAUCGGUAGCAGGAACAUUGGAGUUCGACAUCAGGCGGAAGGGAGCUCUGACAAAACAGCGGCAGGCGGUGGUGAGCGGCGGGACCUCAGUUCCUCUUAGCGUUGGCUCCCCUGUCUCGGCAAAGAAGUGUAGGCCGGCGAACCCUUCCGGCGUGAAUAGUGGCAGUCCCGGCAGCCUGGUGUUCCCGGCGAGAAGGACAGAUCCGGCGAGCGCAGCAAAUUGGCGAAGGCACCGGAUUCCUCCAGCGUCUUCUGUCCUUCCUUCGCGAACAGAGUAGAUCCGGCGUCCUCCUGGUAGCGGCGAACUUCGACGGAGCGGUGGAGGGUUCCUCCAGUAGAGGUUGGUGGAUGGCGAACUCCUUCCCUUCUCGGCGUGAGCUUGGAUGGUGAACGGAGCAGUUCCGGCGGCUGAGCAGUGGCCGUGGCGUGUGGGUCUUCUCCGGCAGUGGAGCUCUUCCGGCGUUGCAGUUUGGACGGCGGCAAUGAAGCCUGGGUGGGCCCAGUUCUCGAGAACGCACGUGAUAGUUAGUGUGUAGAUUUGAGGUGGUAGUUACUAGUUUAGUUUUCUACCCUUAGUUGUACUGACAUAUGUUGAUUAAACUGCUCUUUUUGUUGGUGUGUAGACACCGGGGUUUGUUCCCCACGUUUAUGAUAUUUUGUAGAGCUUUUGACUCUAGUUUAGUUAGCUGAUUUUAUAGCCUGUGUAGUUACUGUGUGUGGUGACUGUGGCGGUGACACCCUUUAGUUGAUCGUUUGAAUGGCUAAUUAGUUAUCUAAGCUUUGUUUA
Long non-coding RNA from Ipomoea nil (Japanese morning glory), 992 nucleotides. RefSeq lists it as uncharacterized. The transcript has 2 exons. The record is from RefSeq and is a predicted model, not a curated record. NCBI's taxonomy places the organism in Eukaryota, Viridiplantae, Streptophyta, Magnoliopsida, Solanales, Convolvulaceae.